UACAGAGGGGGCAAGCGUUGUUCGGAAUUACUGGGCGUAAAGGGCGCGUAGGCGGCCUUCUAAGUCGAACGUGAAAUCCCCGGGCUCAACCCGGGAACUGCGUCCGAUACUGGAAGGCUUGAAUCCGGGAGAGGGAUGCGGAAUUCCAGGUGUAGCGGUGAAAUGCGUAGAUAUCAAGAGGAACACCAACGGCGAAGGCAGCUAGCUGGACGAGAUCCGACGCUCAGGCUCGAAAGUAUGGGGAGCAAAAAGG
This 253-nucleotide ribosomal RNA is filed under the name uncultured bacterium. Its description in RNAcentral is "partial 16S ribosomal RNA". It matches the Rfam family "Bacterial small subunit ribosomal RNA", at positions 524 to 776 of the family's 1533-position model. The record is from RNAcentral.